CCUACGUGUGGCAGCAGUGAGGACUAUUGGUCAAUGGGCGGGAGCCUGAACCAGCCACGCCGCGUGAGGGAAGAAGGUACAGCGUAUCGUACACCUCUUUUGUCAGGGAACAAAGGCGGGGACUAGUCCCCGGAUGAGGGUACCUGAAGACAAAGCAUCGGCCAACUCCGUGCCAGCAGCCGCGGUAAUACGGAGGAUGCUAGCGUUAUCCGGAUUUAUUGGGUGUAAAGGGUGCGCGGGCGGCCUGUUAAGUCAGCGGUAACAGCCCGGGGCUCAUCCCCGGCGAGCCGUUGAAACUGGCGGGCUGGAGUUGGAGAGAAGUACGCGGAAGGCGCGGUGUAGCGGUGAAAUGCUUAGAUAGCGCGCAGAACCCCGAUUGCGAAGGCAGCGUACCGGCUCCACACUGACGCUGAGGCACGAAAGCGUGGGUAUCGAACAGGAUUAGAUACCCUAGUAGUC
Molecule: ribosomal RNA, 459 nt
Filed under: uncultured bacterium
Lineage: Bacteria
Description: partial 16S ribosomal RNA
Rfam family: Bacterial small subunit ribosomal RNA
Source: RNAcentral